RNAcentral lists this ribosomal RNA (223 nucleotides) under uncultured bacterium. RNAcentral's name for it is "partial 16S ribosomal RNA". It matches the Rfam family "Bacterial small subunit ribosomal RNA", at positions 943 to 1167 of the family's 1533-position model. The record is from RNAcentral.
GGUUUAAUUCGAAGCAACGCGAAGAACCUUACCAAGUCUUGACAUCCCACUGACCGGACAGUAAUGUGUCCUUUCCUUCGGGACAGUGGAGACAGGUGGUGCAUGGUUGUCGUCAGCUCGUGUCGUGAGAUGUUGGGUUAAGUCCCGCAACGAGCGCAACCCCUAUCCUUAGUAGCCAGCAGUAAGAUGGGCACUCUAGGGAGACUGCCAGGGAUAACCUGGA